Molecule: long non-coding RNA, 326 nt
Organism: Rhagoletis pomonella (apple maggot)
Lineage: Eukaryota; Metazoa; Arthropoda; Insecta; Diptera; Tephritidae
Exons: 3
Source: RefSeq, a predicted model, not a curated record
AUUUUACGAACAUAGUCAAUUGAAGCAUAGAAAAAUUAAAUUGUGAAAGUGGCCACGUCUACAUACGCGAUUGAAUUUUAAUCAAUUUGCUGCGAUCUGUGAUUCGAAUUUAGAAGAAAAAGUAAUAUGUGCAUUUUGAAGAAUGCCCAUUCAGGCGCCUUCAUGGACAGAUUUUCUCUUUUGCCCAAUUUGUUGCAAUGAAUUUGCUGUUAAUCACCGUCUACCAAUAAGUCUGGGAUGUGGUCAUACAAUAUGUCGCCAGUGUCUGGCCAACUUACACAACCGCCAAUGCCCCUUCGAUCAAACCACCAUCACAACCGAUGUCG